GAUAUGACGUUGAUCGGGUAUAAAGAUAUAAUGGUUUACUUUCAGAGAGUUGCCGUGUGGUGCGAGGCAAUAGAAAUCGUAUAUUGACACUCUCCCGUGAGUUUUGCUGAUGAAAUCAAUAGUAGUUGGCAACGGUAGUUCCGUUAUCGCUAAUGAGACCCAACUAGGGUGGUACCGUGUUAUAAGUAUAUGACGCCCCUUGC
This 203-nucleotide non-coding RNA is filed under the name Veillonella montpellierensis. RNAcentral describes it as "T-box sequence". It matches the Rfam family "T-box leader". From Rfam's summary of the family: Uncharged tRNA acts as the effector for transcription antitermination of genes in the T-box leader family. T-boxes are found upstream of many aminoacyl-tRNA synthetase genes and some amino acid biosynthetic genes usually in Gram-positive bacteria. The anticodon of a specific tRNA base pairs to a specifier sequence within the T-box motif, and the NCCA acceptor tail of the tRNA base pairs to a conserved bulge in the T-box antiterminator hairpin. Lineage: Bacteria; Bacillati; Bacillota; Negativicutes; Veillonellales; Veillonellaceae. The record is from RNAcentral.